Molecule: long non-coding RNA, 761 nt
Organism: Balaenoptera musculus (blue whale)
Lineage: Eukaryota; Metazoa; Chordata; Mammalia; Artiodactyla; Balaenopteridae
Exons: 4
Source: RefSeq, a predicted model, not a curated record
AGAAAUGAUGAACGUUAGAUUUUUUACAUUUAGUAAAAUGCUACAAAUGUAGUUUUUAGAAUACUUAGCAUUUUAAAAGGGCAUAUCUGCAUGGUACUUUGUAAACAUUAACUAAUUAAUCUUCUUAAUGUAAGAUGCUAUACUUGAUUUCAGCCCAAAGAAUUGUUAUAUAUUAAUGUUCCAUUUGUAUCCUGCCUAAAACGUGAAACAUUUAGUGACUGUCACAAGUUCUGCAGCUUCACUCUCAUUUUGAUCUUUUCAUAUGGAAAUUGCCAUUGAGACAGAGCUGUCCACCAUCAACAACCCUCAAUAUUUAUGAAGAAUCUCAGCUGUUCAUACUUCAGUAUAAAUGAAGGCAUCUUUGUAAUGACCAGCCUGGUGUUUUAGAAUCUUCUUAUCUUCUCCACUGACCCUGGCAUGGGGCAAACAGGAGGGAAUUUAAAAAGUCCUAGCUAACUUGGAUGAGCACUUUGUCAGUGGAUAACGUCUCUAUCUAGGUCUCAGCACUCCUGGUAUAUUCUGCUCCUCUUUGGACAUAUCAACAGAAAGAAACCUAGAGGUUUACUUGAUCAAGAACCUCAAUGAGUGAUGAUAACAUUUCCUGUUCUCCCAGACGCUUCUAAUUCUUCCUGUUGCCGCCUAUCUUCAACAGAAAAGCAACUGAUCAUGGAAGCAAGCAGGAGGAAUUAAGUUGAUGGAUCAAAGAAGACAUAAUAAUGGUAUUUAGAAAGUAAUGAAAACUAAAUUAUAACAACAACAAC